RNAcentral lists this transfer-messenger RNA (349 nucleotides) under Oscillospiraceae. Its description in RNAcentral is "Faecousia gallistercoris Standard tmRNA". It matches the Rfam family "transfer-messenger RNA". Rfam says of the family: Bacterial tmRNA, also known as 10Sa RNA or SsrA, is named for its dual tRNA and mRNA-like properties. Its role is to liberate the mRNA from a stalled ribosome. Lineage: Bacteria; Bacillati; Bacillota; Clostridia; Eubacteriales. RNAcentral also lists the same sequence under 3 other names. The record is from RNAcentral.
GGGGGCGUACUGGUUUCGACGGGGGCAGUGAGGCCGGAAUAGCGGGCCGUGGCGCCUGACCACGAUAAAACGGGCAACUUUUAAAAUUAACUGACAACGAAAACGUUGCUCUGGCAGCCUAAUUAGGCCGCCCAUCCGCCCCGGAAGGACCACGAGCCGGGUUCGGGUGUGAUGAUAGUGGUGACCGUGCGUACGGUAAGCUUUGCCCGUACCAUGCAUCAUGAAGCUACCAAUUCCCGUAGGGUGUUUGUUCCCGCCGGGUUGAGGGAAGGUAAAUAACAAACUGCGCCCGGAGAAGUUCCCGUCAAGCUGCUUUCGGACGGGGGUUCGAUUCCCCCCGCCUCCACCA